GACGAACGCUGGCGGCGUGCUUAACACAUGCAAGUCGAGCGGUAAGGCCCUUUCGGGGUACGACGAGCGGCGAACGGGUGAGUAACACGUGGGUGACCUGCCUUUAGCUCUGGGAUAAGCCUGGGAAACCGGGUCUAAUACCGGAUAUGACUCCGCGGCGCAUGUUGUGGGGUGGAAAGCCUUGUGCGGCUGGAGAUGGGCCCGCGGCCUAUCAGCUUGUUGGUGGGGUGAUGGCCACCAAGGCGACGACGGGUAGCCGGCCUGAGAGGGCGACCGGCCACACUGGGACUGAGACACGGCCCAGACUCCUACGGGAGGCAGCAGUGGGGAAUCUUGCGCAAUGGGCGAAAGCCUGACGCAGCGACGCCGCGUGAGGGAUGACGGCCU
Molecule: ribosomal RNA, 387 nt
Filed under: uncultured bacterium
Lineage: Bacteria
Description: bacterial SSU rRNA
Rfam family: Bacterial small subunit ribosomal RNA
Source: RNAcentral